CACUUAAAUGUCAGAUAGGCAAGCAGCAGGCAGAAGCCAUAGCAACUAGCACACACCUACACACACAUCUGGACCUGUACACCUACGGCCCUGGAAAAUUAUCCAUAGACCCGCUGACUAACCCCGCCUCGUUUUUCCGAUUCCCCCAUUUCGACCAGGUCAUAGACGAGGUGCCACCCACCCCCAAAUCUCCCCGCCACAGAAACGUCGGACGACAUCCGCGUCGCCAUCACAUCAUCCAGCCAUGACCAGCGGCGGCAAUCGAUGAUUGCCAUUCCCUCAGCCAACGAGAGCCAAUAGAGGCAGCCGGAAAGGAGGACGCCGGAACAGUCCGGUAACGUCGGAAUAGCCCGACAUUCGCAAAACGUCAAUAACCGCAGGGGAAUCCCCCAUUUCAACGCCAAGGACUCAAGUCACGCGGCAUCAACAUGCUGAUCAAGGAGUACCGCAUUCCGCUGCCCCUCACCGUCGAGGAGUACCGCAUCGCCCAGCUCUACAUGAUUGCGAAAAAGAGUCGCGAGGAGAGUCACGGCGAGGGCAGUGGCGUUGAGAUUAUCAUCAAUGAGCCGUACAAGGAUGGACCCGGCGGAAAUGGUCAAUACACAAAGAAGAUCUACCACGUGGGCAAUCAUCUGCCUGGCUGGAUCAAAAGUCUCUUGCCGAAAAGCGCUUUAACCGUGGAGGAGGAGGCAUGGAAUGCCUAUCCGUAUACCAGGACUCGCUACACCUGUCCGUUUGUGGAGAAGUUCUCGCUGGACAUUGAGACAUACUAUUAUCCGGACAAUGGCUAUCAGGACAACGUCUUCCAGCUGUCCGGAAGCGAUCUGCGUAAUCGCAUAGUAGACGUGAUUGACAUUGUGAAGGACCAGCUGUGGGGUGGCGACUAUGUGAAGGAGGAGGAUCCCAAGCACUUUGUGUCGGACAAGACGGGCCGUGGACCCUUGGGCGAGGAUUGGCUGGACGAGUAUUGGCGAGAAGUGAAGGGCAAAAAGCAGCCGACACCGCGCAACAUGUCCCUGAUGACCGCCUACAAGAUCUGCCGCGUUGAGUUCCGCUACUGGGGCAUGCAGACGAAGCUGGAGAAGUUCAUCCACGACGUGGCGCUGCGCAAGAUGAUGCUGCGUGCCCAUCGACAGGCGUGGGCAUGGCAGGACGAGUGGUUCGGCUUGACCAUCGAGGAUAUCCGCGAACUGGAGCGACAAACGCAACUGGCCCUGGCCAAGAAGAUGGGCGGCGGCGAGGAGUGCAGCGAUGACAGCAUCUCGGAGCCGUAUAUCAGCACGGCGGCCACUGCCGCCUCCACAACGGGCAGCGAGCGAAAGAAGUCCGCUCCGGCCGUGCCGCCGAUUGUCACCCAGCAGCCGCCGAGCGCCGAGGCCAGUUCGGAUGAGGAGGGCGAGGAGGAGGAUGACGACGAGGACGAGAACGAUGCCAUUGGUACGGGCGUGGAUCUGUCCGCCAACCAAAGCGGAUCCGCGCAACGUUCGCGCUCCCAAAGUAUUCAGAUGGCCCAGAAGGGCAAGUUCGGGUCGAAGGGUGCCCUUCACUCUCCGGUGGGAUCUGCCCACAGCUUCGAUCUCCAGUCCAAAAAGCCGCAUGCAAAGACAGCGCCACGCAGACAUGUGGCAAACUGGCGUAUGGAGCGGUUGGAAGUGGACUCCAAAUCCAACUCGGAUGAGGAAUUCUUUGAUUGUCUGGACACCAAUGAGACGAACUCGCUGGCCAAGUGGAGCUCGCUGGAGCUGCUGGGCGAGGGCGACGACAGUCCGCCGCCACAUGGCGGACCCUCCAGCGCAGCAUCCGUGGGUGGGCGUGGCAACUCGCGGCAAGAGGACAGCAUAUUCAAUCAGGACUUUCUGAUGCGCGUGGCCUCAGAGCGCGGCAACAAGCGGCAGUUACGCUCCUCCGCCAGCGUGGAUCGCAGUCACGACUCCUCGCCGCCGGGAUCACCGAGCACACCGUCAUGCCCCACAACCAUUCUGAUCCUGGUUGUCCAUGCGGGCAGCGUUUUGGAUGCGGCCAGCGAGCUGACCGCCAAGAAAUCCGAUGUGACCACAUUCCGUGGCUCCUUCGAGGCGGUGAUGCGACAGCACUAUCCCAGCCUCCUCACUCAUGUGACCAUCAAGAUGGUGCCGUGCCCCUCAAUUUGCACCGACGCCUUGGGCAUUCUCUCCAGCCUGAGUCCGUACUCCUUUGAUGCAUCGCCCUCGGCGGCGGAUAUACCGAAUAUAGCCGAUGUUCCUAUUGGAGCCAUACCCCUACUAUCCGUGGCAUCGCCCGAAUUCCACGAGACGGUCAACAAGACGGUCGCCGCUGCCAAUAUUGUCUACCACGAGUUCUUGAAAUCGGAGGAGGGACACGGAUUCUCCGGCCAGAUUGUCAUGCUGGGCGAUUCGAUGGGCUCACUGCUGGCGUACGAGGCUCUCUGCCGAUCAAAUGGCAGCCAGCCGGGUACGGCUUCGGGCGCCUCAAAUUCUGGUGGAGAUGCAGCCACCAAUAUAAAUACCCACAAUCCGUUGAGCGCUCGAAAUUCGAGGUUGGACGAUGACGAGCGUUUCAUCGAAGCCGAUCUGGAUGCCAAGCGUUUGCUGGUGGCUCCAUCGCCACGUAGACGCCGCUCCAGCUCCUCCAGCGAUUCGCGGGCCACCAAAUUGGACUUUGAGGUCUGUGAUUUCUUCAUGUUCGGAUCGCCGCUGUCUGUGGUACUUGCUGCAAGGAAACUUCACGAUGCCAAGGCCGCCCUGCCGCGGCCCAACUGCCACCAGGUCUACAAUCUGUUCCAUCCAACCGAUCCGAUCGCCUCGCGCCUGGAGCCGCUUCUCAGCGCCCGGUUUUCGAUAUUGGCGCCAGUUAAUGUCCCACGGUACGCCAAGUAUCCGCUGGGAAAUGGUCAGCCAUUGCAUUUAUUGGAGGUCAUUCAGUCGCAUCCGCAGCACUUCAACGACGGCAACAAUCUGCUGGCUGGUCGCCGUUUGUCGGACGCAUCGAUGCAGAGCACGAUAUCGGGUCUGAUUGAGAAUGUCUCGCUUAGUACGAUCCAUGCCCUGCAAAACAAAUGGUGGGGCACAAAGCGCUUGGAUUACGCUUUGUAUUGCCCGGAGGGAUUGAGUAAUUUUCCGGCUCACGCCUUGCCGCACCUCUUCCACGCCAGUUACUGGGAGAGUCCGGAUGUGAUUGCCUUUAUUCUACGGCAGAUUGGCAAAUUCGAGGGCAUACCCUUUGUGGGCUCCAACGAUGACAAGGACAAUGCCUCCUUCCAUCCAGGACAGCCGAGGGAGAAGUGGAUCAAGAAACGCACCUCGGUGAAGCUGAAAAAUGUGGCAGCCAAUCAUCGGGCCAACGAUGUGAUCGUGCAGGAGGGCAGGGAGCAGCGUUUGAAUGCGAGAUUUAUGUACGGACCCCUAGACAUGAUCACCCUGCACGGUGAGAAGGUGGAUGUGCACAUUAUGAAGGAUCCGCCGGCGGGCGAGUGGACAUUCCUCAGCACUGAGGUGACGGACAAGAACGGUCGAAUCUCGUACAGCAUUCCGGAUCAGGUAUCCCUAGGCUAUGGCAUAUACCCCGUAAAGAUGGUGGUCCGUGGCGAUCACACCUCGGUGGAUUGCUAUAUGGCGGUGGUGCCGCCGUUGACCGAAUGCGUGGUCUUUAGCAUUGAUGGCUCCUUCACCGCUUCCAUGUCGGUGACGGGCAGGGAUCCCAAGGUACGUGCCGGAGCUGUCGAUGUUUGUCGCCACUGGCAGGAGCUGGGCUACCUGCUCAUCUACAUCACCGGACGACCGGAUAUGCAGCAGCAACGCGUUGUGUCCUGGCUGAGCCAGCACAACUUCCCGCAUGGCCUGAUCUCGUUCGCCGACGGCCUGUCCACCGAUCCAUUGGGCCACAAGACGGCCUAUCUCAACAAUCUGGUGCAGAACCAUGGAAUCUCAAUUACUGCCGCCUACGGCAGCAGCAAGGACAUUAGUGUCUACACGAAUGUUGGCAUGCGAACUGAUCAAAUAUUCAUCGUGGGCAAGGUUGGCAAGAAGCUGCAGUCCAAUGCCACCGUGCUUAGCGAUGGCUAUGCCGCCCACUUGGCCGGUUUGCAGGCUGUGGGUGGUUCGCGCCCGGCGAAGGGCAAUGCGCGCAUGGUCAUUCCACGCGGAUGCUUCAAUCUUCCCGGCCAGACCGCGAAUCCGCGGCGCAGAAGCAACGAGACGGGACUCUCAUCACCCAUACGCAGUGGUUACCUGAAGCGCAAGACCUACCUGAGCCACCACUAGAGCAGCAGGGAUGCAGAUGCAGCUAUCUAUCUAUAGAUCGAUCCAUCAGAUAGAAGUGAAACCAAUGUACUCACGACCCCACUAGAAAUCCCCUCGAAAUAGCGAACAAAAAUAUAUAGAGCCACAAUGGACAACAAGACCGAUGCCUCCAUAUGCCACAUCUGUGUAUAUACCAUAUAAAUAUAUAUUUAUAUACUAUGCGCGAUAUAUUGAAAGUUUAAUGGUGUAAUAUAUAGUACAUAUAUAUAUAUCAAAUACCAAAUUUGCAAAUGAGAAAAAAAAACAAUUGUACAACAUUUAACAAAAGUCAAAUGUGUCACGCGGUACCUGGAAAGAAAGACUGUUUCCUCCUGUUGUUUGAUGGUUUUCCAAACCACUUAAAAAGCAUAAAAAAACAUUGAAAACUACACGAAACAAGAGCCGAUCGCAAAGCUAUAUACUAAAUACAAAUAUAAAUGAUAUAUACAAGGAUAUCUUCGAAACAUAGAACCGUUUAACAUAUGCAAGCGAACCAAGUUCAACAAACCAAGCAAGUGAGGUACAACAACUGAAGGACAAACUACUACUGAAACCGAAGAUCUCCGGAUGAUUGAAGAUACAACUAAGGGAAGCGAGGGGAGCGGAUAGAGUUGCAAAAUCAAAAGGAAAAUUAAAUGCAUUUCUCGAGAAACAACCACUACAAAAGUAUAAAUUAACGGCUUCCGUAAACCAAACCAAAAAUCUAAAAAUAGAAUUAUCUAUGUGUAUGUGCGUGUAAAAUUGACAAAAAUUAAAAAACAAAAAAAAUCGGUUCUAAAGAAGAAACUUAAAUGUAAAAACUUCAUGAAAUUGAAUACAAUCUCUUAACUGGCCCCAGAAAUUUCAAAUCUCCAUAAUUGUGAUAGUCUUUCGCUACCAAAAGUUAUUUAAAAAGAUGAAAAAACAGCAAAAUAUAUAUAUUUAUCUCUACUAAAAAUUGUUAUUCGAAAAUGAAAGGCAUUUCGGAAAGAAAAAAACAGAAACUAUUGGAUAUUGUGUAAACUUAAAACCCGAUUUUGUGAUACCAAAACUAAAACCGAAACCAAAGUUCAGUUCGUAUUGAGAUGCGUUUAAGCCGACUACUCAAAAACCUAUACAAACAACUCAAGGCGACCUGACGAUGUAACGGGCAUUGAAUCUGACCCAUAUAGCAAUAUAUAUAUACAUAUAUAUAUAUAUAUACCACUAUGUACGCAAACUAUGUACGCAAACCCCCAAUUAUGGGCUGUCCACGCAAGUUAACUAAAAACUCUCACACAUCUUGUAAGCUAAAGAAAACUCGGAUGUAAACCAGAUAACCACAAUUGAAGGUACAUAUGGGACCGUAAGAAUAAGAGAAGAUAUAGGAAUCUGUAAUCUGUUCGAUCCGUUUGGGUUAACCUAAGCCAAAGUUAGUUGAGUUAGGCGAUUAAGAUACUUCCUAAACUGAAAAGUAAAUGCAAAUUAAAGAGUUUAAACCGAUAGUUGUAAUGAGAACAGAGUAAUUGUAUGUAAAGAUGACAGAAGAUAAAUAACUAAAUCAUAUACUGUAUAUUUAUAUAGCGCAACUACUUUAAGGUCUUUUGAAGCUUGCUAACUGAAAAAGUGUUCCGAUUAAAGUAUUGUCCGGCUAUACGUUCCUCUCUCCUCCACUUCAGUCGAUUUUUAGCUAUAUUUUAGGUUUUAUUUUUCCUUUGUAGCAUGUAUUAAACUGAAAACUGAUGGAAGAUCUUAUAGAUUUUAAGACGAAUCUCGACCUAUGAAAAGUUUAUUCUAUAUAAGUGAGUUGUUCAAGGUUCAAGAGCGAGGUAAAAAGAAGUUUAGAAGCAAGUCCUAUUAAAUAACACACCAGAUACUCAUAGAGUCAAAAUGUUAAUGUCUGUCUACUUAGCUGGUAAAUUAAGGGCAUUUUUGCAAUACGUUUUCUAUAAGUCUCGGCCGACUUCCUUUCCAACUAGAUCUAUUUGUAUGUGAAUACUUCGUUCAACUUCUCAGCAUAGAAUAUUUGAGCUUAUAUCUUAUGUGCUUCAAACGGUUCAUAUCACUUUGAUUUUGCGAAAGAUAAUCGUUAUUUGUGUUGAAAUUUGGAAUUAUCUUUCACUGUCGUGUAUAGUUUUACAUAAACCCCCCCACCUGAGGCAGAAAUAGAACUGGAAAACUCAAAUGGAUUUAGAUUUCACACAAUGGCAUUUUAGUGCUUGCUCUACGUGUUGCUAAUAUUGCAUACCGAUUGCUUGAUUUACUUUUGAUUUAUCGUUGCAAUUUUUAGAAACCUCCCUUUUUCUCCUCCAUCGAACUAAGAACUAACAAAGCCAAUAAAGCGUUGAGCGAAAUUGCAUUGAUAUUUUGAGAACCCACCAUUUAGAUGAUAAGCUGAAGCCCUCACACAAACUGACGAUGACUAAUGCAGAAAAUAUAAUCAAAGAACAAAACACUGAAAACAAUGGAAAUGUUUAACCGAACAGCAGCCUAAUGUUUACGUACAUACAUACAUAGGAAAAUAUAUGCCCGCAUGGUUAUGUAUUUUAAUUAUUAAGUGCAAAAGUCCAGGAAUAACAAAUACGAAUUCAGAUUGAAAACAAUUGUAAGGAGAGCGAAGCGAAAUGCGAAAAAUAUACGAAAUUAUUUAUUGACAACAAAAUCUACAAACCGAAGAACAAAAAAAUGAGGAGCAAGCCAAAUGCAAUCUAUUUACAAAAUCCUACAAAAAUAAAAAGCAAAGCCAGAAUUACAAACAAAACCAAUUAAGCUGAGCUGAUUCCACGGAAAUGAAUAUAUAUAUAUAUAUAUUAUACAUACAUAUAUAAUGUAAACCUACCCAAAAAUAAGAUAUUUUUAAGCCAAUAGUUGAAAUUGGACUAUGACAAAUAACAAGAGUAAACCAAUUGAAAUAUGGCAGUAAGAAAUAUUUUUCGAUGUAAGCUGUUUGUUAGAAAAAGAUCGAGUUUCAGUGAAUAGUGUCGAAUCAAUUCACAGAAAAUCGAUAAGAAAGCGGUUCAUGACAAGAUAACAAAAACUGAAAUAAAAAACAAAUGUUCUAUUUGAUGUUGCAAA
This is an RNA transcript of Drosophila teissieri, 7310 nucleotides long. It is a transcript of the gene named protein retinal degeneration B, with no coding region annotated. Lineage: Eukaryota; Metazoa; Arthropoda; Insecta; Diptera; Drosophilidae. The transcript has 13 exons. The record is from RefSeq and is a predicted model, not a curated record.